GAUGAACGCUGGCGGCGUGCCUAAUACAUGCAAUUCGAGCGAACAGACGAGGAGCUUGCUCCUUUGACGUUAGCGGCGGACGGGUGAGUAACACGUGGGUAACCUACCUAUAAGACUGGGAUAACUUCGGGAAACCGGAGCUAAUACCGGAUAAUAUUUCGAACCGCAUGGUUCGAUAGUGAAAGAUGGCUUUGCUAUCACUUAUAGAUGGACCUGCGCCGUAUUAGCUAGUUGGUAAGGUAACGGCUUACCAAGGCAACGAUACGUAGCCGACCUGAGAGGGUGAUCGGCCACACUGGAACUGAGACACGGUCCCAACUCCUACGGGAGGCAGCAGUAGGGAAUUUUCCGCAAUGGGCGAAAGCCUGACGGAGCAACGCCGCGUGAGGGAUGAAGGUUUUCGGAUCGUAAAACUCUGUUAUUAGGGAAGAAAAAACGUGUAAGUAACUGUUCACGUCUUGACGGUACCUAAUCAAAAAGACACGGCUAACUACGUG
RNAcentral lists this ribosomal RNA (497 nucleotides) under uncultured bacterium. RNAcentral's name for it is "partial 16S ribosomal RNA". It matches the Rfam family "Bacterial small subunit ribosomal RNA", at positions 28 to 507 of the family's 1533-position model. The record is from RNAcentral.